GUUUUUCAGGAAUUUCUUUCAGGUUCAAAUGUCCUUGGCUGGAAGGAGACCCACACAGACACAUUUGGGAGAAAUCUGAUAAUGGCUGAAGAGUUUGGGACAAACCUGAGGCACACGUGGGGCUUAAUGUUCAGGUUGUGAGUGUUCGUUCAGCACCCUUUGUUUCCUGACUGGACUUUGAAAGGAGGCCACCCUCUUGCCCUUCUUCGGUGGAACAAAACAGACAAAAUAUGCAGAUUCUUAACUCAACACACCACGUUGAAUAGCAUGUGGAAAAUUGGCAUUUCCAGUGAAUAAAAAUUAACUGGCAAACAACAAAAGGAAAAACGGAGGAAUGCUGUUGGAUGCUGUUUGGCUCGUCUUGUCUUGUCAGAGAAGGAACACGUGUGAAUCAAAUGGUUGAAGAUGAAUUUUACCUACACGUCUGGCUCCUGUUCAGAUGUUUUAGAUUUCUUAGUCAACUUUAUUUGCUUGUGUUUCUUUAAAAAAUGGUGUUUGCUCAUGUUAAAACAGGGAACUAAGCUGUAUGUAGAAAAUAAUGAUUUACCUUCUGAAACUGCAAUACGCACAAAUGGAGCAAGAAGAAUACAGGUACAGUGCCUGGCUACCCUAGUUCCUCAGGUACAUUUUCCACUUUCCAUGUUCCUAUACGACAGUGUCACAGAUUUCUGCCACUGUGUCAUAAAGAUCACUUUCCUCCUGUAUCCAGCAACAUUCUCUCACAUUCCUGUGAGCCCUCCCAACAGCCUCAGAGGUGGCUAA
RNAcentral lists this long non-coding RNA (762 nucleotides) under Canis lupus familiaris (dog). RNAcentral describes it as "lncRNA (ENSCAFG00040000529.1)". The record is from RNAcentral. Lineage: Eukaryota; Metazoa; Chordata; Mammalia; Carnivora; Canidae.